Molecule: long non-coding RNA, 2525 nt
Organism: Oreochromis aureus
Lineage: Eukaryota; Metazoa; Chordata; Actinopteri; Cichliformes; Cichlidae
Source: Ensembl
GGACGAUGAAGGAAACAUCUGUGCUGUGUCUGCUCUGAGUCGAGGAAACACAGCAGGCAGUGAAAAGAUCAAAUCAUUCACUCAUUAUAUCAACACAGCUUACUUCUAUUCACUGACAUCUUAAUCCUGGGUUCUCCUGAGCUUGAACCUGAACGUCAGACAAACCAUCGACUGCAGGAGACAUGAGCCUCAGACCAUCUCACCAUCAUCAUCUUCAUCAUCACCAUCAUCAUCAUCAUCAUCAUCAUCAUCAGACAUGGCUGGUAAGGACAUGAGGAGGAAACAGUAGGAGCUGUGUGAGGCUACUAAAGGCAGUGGAUCCCUCAGCAGCUGGAUUACAAAGAGCACAGUCUACAGUCUCAGAUCAACACAGCCCUGCCCUCCAGCACUAUCAGCAGCAGGAGCAGCAGAAACACCUCAACAGCAACAUUGUACCCAUCAGCACAGAAAACCAACAACAGCAGCAACAAGAAUCACAGAAACACUCAGACCAGCGAUGAGUCCAACAGGUGCAACUGUGUCUCCUCCUGUCUGACCUGCAGCCAAUUUGAGGUGUUCUCCCCUUGAGCCCAUGUUAAAAGGCUGGCUUCACUACACACCACAGAAAGAGAAACAGGACAAAGUUCUGCAGUAUUUAAACAUGAACGUGGAUAUUUGACCUGGUGUAAUGUGUUCGUCCCUCAGUCUGCUGAGAUGAUCACCACUCAUCUCUUCAAGCGGUUAGUUAGUCUGUUAGUGUAGUGAUGUGUAAUAAAUGCAUUUUUUAAUGUUUGAAGUUACGAACAACUGCAGUGAGUGCUUAGAGCCACUAGAUGGACGGAUGGAUAGAAAAUAGUUUGAAAAGCCUUUACUUUGCUCACACGAGUCACGUUUGACAUCAAAUUGUUACCUAGAAAGAAGAGUUACAUUAACUAGUUACUUACAGGAAAAGGAUGGAAUCAGAAACUGUGUAGUGUUUGUGAUCCUGGCUGUCGACUCUAUUUCAGACUUCCUCUAAGCUACACUGACAUCACUCCUCCUUUGCUUUGAACUAUUCACAGUUGAACACAGCGUAACUGUAAAACCACAGAGUUGAACUUCCUGUUAUGAUGUUCUGCUCUAAAUGCUCCCUCACUUUUUGUCUCUAUGACAAACUAAGAAUGAUAAAAGGAUCAGCUGACAUGCGUGACGUCAGUUUUAGUUCCAGAGUUCUGCAACAUCAACAUUGAUAUCGUGCAGACUGAUGCCAGCAGAAAUGAGAGCUUUGUUUGGUUUAAAUGUUAUAGCAUGAAAAUGUUUUAGUUUUACUUUAGUGUUUUGUUCUUUACAUAGUGUAGUAAAGUUUCCUUUACACAGUGGGUUUGUCUUUAGUGUCUGGUCGUUCUGGCAUUUUAAGCUGAAAAGCUUCACAAAGGUCAGAGGUUACAAAUUCAAUUCUCUGAGUAACACAUCCAUAUCAUAACCUGCUAUAAUGUUUCUAUGAUAAUGAAUAAAUAAUAAACUUAGCUGCUAUUGGGAAAAAAAAACACGACAAAUGAAAAUUUCAACCACCCUGUCCUAUUAUACCUUUUUCUCAGAAUUUACCUCUCUGGGCCAGAACAGAAGACCAGGGUAGGGGUGUCAAACAUAAGGCAUGGGAGCCAUAAUCUGCCCAUCACAGGCCCACUGGGUGUCAUUGGAAAAUGCAGCUUUGCUGCUUUUUCACUGAUGACCUCAUCAAAGGUGAAGGUGAUGCCAGAUUGAAUGUGAACUUAAACUACUUUACAUUGAGGGGAGUUUAAUGUGGCCCACGAUGUAAAACCAGUUUGACAUACCUGCCCCAGAGUCAUUCACUAAUAUUAAUAAACUGGUAAAUAACAUGCUGUCAUUCAAACAGGGUUCAUCUUCACUUUUAAGGUCAGUAUUCACUCAGAUCUGCCAGUGACAGUGAUGGAAGAGCAACACCUCCACCUUUUAAAUACAUUAAAUGGAAAGGCUUUAUAAUACGGUGGGCGGGUCGUUCCAUGUCACUGUGAUAGAUCUGGAUAGAUGAUGAAUAUUCAAGCUACACAAUAUUUUACCUUCAUACUAUAAAAGAUUUCAGGUGUUAGAGGUCAUUGAAGUACAAACAGAGCAGGUGUAACUUGUCACUUAUUAUGUCCUAAUAUUUUUUCCAGGAUUUUUCUGAAUUAUAGCAAUUCGGGUAAAUGAUGCAUCAUUUGUCUGAACUCUGUAGUGAUUUCAUGUAGUGUGAUCCAGGAUUAAAUGAAACAAUUUGUUUUUAAACACAUUUUUUUACUUUAGUGUUUAGUUUAGUUGUUGUUUUCUAAGUUAAGUGUUUUGUUUGUUCACACAUACUAAGCCAGGAGUUACUCAUUGUUCCCAAUAUUUUUUGAAUCUCGAUGUUCAGCAACAUUAAUUUCUGUCCUCACAUCACCUAGUUUUCUUCUAAAUGCAUGAAACCACAGCAGAAGACUCAGUAAUCAGCUGUAGAGACAUUUCAAACCUGCUGCUUUUCAUGAGGAUGCUAGUUAAAAUCCGGUUUGUGUCGUUCAUGUUUUCUGUAG